UGCGUGCUUACACAUGCAAGUCGAACGCUGAAGCCUGGUGCUUGCACCGGGUGGAUGAGUGGCGAACGGGUGAGUAACACGUGAGUAACCUGCCCCUGACUUCGGGAUAAGCCCGGGAAACUGGGUCUAAUACCGGAUACGACUGCCGGACGCAUGUCUGGUGGUGGAAAGUUUUUUCGGUUGGGGAUGGGCUCGCGGCCUAUCAGUUUGUUGGUGAGGUAAUGGCUCACCAAGACGACGACGGGUAGCCGGCCUGAGAGGGCGACCGGCCACACUGGGACUGAGACACGGCCCAGACUCCUACGGGAGGCAGCAGUGGGGAAUAUUGCACAAUGGGGGAAACCCUGAUGCAGCGACGCAGCGUGCGGGAUGACGGCCUUCGGGUUGUAAACCGCUUUCAGCAGGGAAGAAGCGCAAGUGACGGUACCUGCAGAAGAAGUACCGGCUAACUACGUGCCAGCAGCCGCGGUAAUACGUAGGGUACGAGCGUUGUCCGGAAUUAUUGGGCGUAAAGAGCUCGUAGGUGGUUGGUCACGUCUGCUGUGGAAACGCAACGCUUAACGUUGCGCGUGCAGUGGGUACGGGCUGACUAGAGUGCAGUAGGGGAGUCUGGAAUUCCUGGUGUAGCGGUGAAAUGCGCAGAUAUCAGGAGGAACACCGGUGGCGAAGGCGGGACUCUGGGCUGUAACUGACACUGAGGAGCGAAAGCAUGGGGAGCGAACAGGAUUAGAUACCCUGGUAGUCCAUGCCGUAAACGUUGGGCACUAGGUGUGGGGGGCAUUCCACGUUCUCCGCGCCGU
This 800-nucleotide ribosomal RNA is filed under the name Brevibacterium sp. JSM 075051. RNAcentral's name for it is "bacterial SSU rRNA". It matches the Rfam family "Bacterial small subunit ribosomal RNA", at positions 41 to 849 of the family's 1533-position model. The record is from RNAcentral. Lineage: Bacteria; Bacillati; Actinomycetota; Actinomycetes; Micrococcales; Brevibacteriaceae.